RNAcentral lists this ribosomal RNA (721 nucleotides) under uncultured bacterium. Its description in RNAcentral is "partial 16S ribosomal RNA". It matches the Rfam family "Bacterial small subunit ribosomal RNA", at positions 138 to 860 of the family's 1533-position model. The record is from RNAcentral.
GGGGGAUAGCCCGUAGAAAUGCGGAUUAAUACCCCAUAGUACUAUUAGAUCGCAUGGUUUGAUAGUUAAAGUUUCGGCGGUAAAGGAUGGGCAUGCGUGACAUUAGCUAGUUGGUGAGGUAACGGCUCACCAAGGCUACNAUGUCUAGGGGUUCUGAGAGGAAGAUCCCCCACACUGGUACUGAGACACGGACCANACUCCUACGGGAGGCAGCAGUGAGGAAUAUUGGUCAAUGGGCGGGAGCCUGAACCAGCCAUCCCGCGUGCAGGAAGAAUGCCCUAUGGGUUGUAAACUGCUUUUUCGCAUGAAGAACACUCCGGACGUGUCUGGAGCUGACGGUAAUGCGUGAAUAAGCACCGGCUAACUCCGUGCCAGCAGCCGCGGUAAUACGGAGGGUGCAAGCGUUAUCCGGAUUUAUUGGGUUUAAAGGGUGCGUAGGCGGUGAUUUAAGUCAGUGGUGAAAUCCUGCAGCUCAACUGUAGAACAGCCAUUGAAACUGAAUUACUUGAGUAAUCUUGAGGUAGGCGGAAUGUGUAGUGUAGCGGUGAAAUGCUUANAUAUUACACAGAACACCGAUUGCGAANGCAGCUUACUAANGAUUUACUGACGCUGAUGCACGAAAGCGUGGGGAUCNAACAGGAUUAGAUACCCUGNUAGUCCNCNCCNUAAACNAUGAUAACUCGCUGUUGNCGAUACACAGUCNNNGGCUUANCGAANGCGU